AAUGAACGCUGGCGGCAGGCCUAACACAUGCAAGUCGAACGAAGCCUUCGGGCUUAGUGGCGCACGGGUGCGUAACGCGUGGGAAUCUGCCCUUGGGUUCGGAAUAACAGUUAGAAAUGACUGCUAAUACCGGAUGAUGUCUUCGGACCAAAGAUUUAUCGCCCAAGGAUGAGCCCGCGUAGGAUUAGGUAGUUGGUGGGGUAAUGGCCCACCAAGCCGACGAUCCUUAGCUGGUCUGAGAGGAUGAUCAGCCACACUGGGACUGAGAAACGGCCCAGACUCCUACGGGACGCAGCAGUGGGGAAUAUUGGACAAUGGGCGAAAGCCUGAUCCAGCAAUGCCGCGUGAGUGAUGAAGGCCUUAGGGUUGUAAAGCUCUUUUACCCGGGAUGAUAAUGACAGUACCGGGAGAAUAAGCUCCGGCUAACUCCGUGCCAGCCGCCGCCGUAA
RNAcentral lists this ribosomal RNA (449 nucleotides) under uncultured bacterium. RNAcentral describes it as "partial 16S ribosomal RNA". It matches the Rfam family "Bacterial small subunit ribosomal RNA", at positions 29 to 523 of the family's 1533-position model. The record is from RNAcentral.